ACUCUCCUGUCACAGACACAAUGACGCAGCUAUCUCUGCUUUUGGCUUGGAAACUGUCUGUAUAUUUAGCACCUCAUUUAAAAUUAGAGCUCAGCACAUGGGGAAUAAAUUUAGCCGGCAGUUUAAAUAGAUAUCUGCUGAGUCAUGCAAAAUUAGACUCGGCACACUGUACUGUAUGGCCAUGAAGACCACGCAGAUGUAAGAGUAGAACUUUCUGACCAAGCUUUUAAUUUGUCGCAUGUUCAGAACCGAUCCUCGUUUCUCGUACAUCUGUCAAAAGGUCACGGCCUGUCACAUGUCUCUCCACGGUGAAGAAUGCCAACACGCUUGAGCGUUUUUGUGGCAAACCGAUUAGUUCUCGCUUGCUUGCAUUGACAUGGGCCACAUAAUGAAAUGGAUUGUGUGCAGAUAAUAUGCAUAACAGCUGAUACUUGAUACAGUUAGAACUGUUUACACUCCACAAUGGAGACACAAGGAGCAAAUUUGCCACAGCAGAAAAAGUUUGAUCGCAUCUGUGCACAACGUUGCGCAUGAGAGUGUAAACAGAAGAAAAAAAACCUUUAAAUGAGGAGGAUUUUCUUUCUGAGGGGUAAAACUAUGUCUCUCAGAUGUUUGUUUUAUAUAUAUAUUUUUAUUAAUAUUGUUGGCAAACGGCUUAAAAUAGCGGCGUUGAAUAACAGAUGGCAUUAAUAUUUCUUUUAUAAAUAUCAAUGAGGAGUAAAUCCUGUGCUUUCUGCGUAUGGGAAUAUAGAAUAGAAUAAAGAGACUGGAAUAGAUAUAGUAGCACUGUAUCAUGUUUGCAUGGGUAAUGGAACCUCGUCAAAAGAAAAGGAAAAAAAAAACACACACAGUACAAACUUAAACUAAAUGUUUGUGACAGGAAAUAAUCCCUUUGCUUCUGCCCACAAAAUGAAUACAUAAUGAAUGACCGAUGACAGUGAGGCACACGUGGCACAGGCUGACCUGCAUUUCUAAAAAUGACAACUGGGUCACGAUUUGUCAAAUAUGGCAGAGAUACACCACCUUACAGCAACAUAAAAGUAUCAGGCCAAUACAUAAAACAAAAAAACGGCUUGAUAAUUGAUACUUGUACAACAAAAGUAACAAAUACAGAGUUCAGUCAUUUCAGUAUUAUUUUAUGUGAGCCAGGUGUGAAGCAGGACAGAGCCGCGAGCUCUCAGCCUCAGUAGAUUAAAUGUUAAUCCGAGCGAAUCAACUGGUUAAUUCCAAGGUCAUCAGAAAGUGGGAGGGACCCGGUUCUCCGCCAGUGCUGGCUAACACGGAGCGAAUGUUUGAUUUAUCUGCACGGCCUUCAGAAUGUACACUUCAACUGGAUCGCGUCAUGCUUCAUGUACUAUAUUUGACGACUGUAUUUUAUCGUUUUACAGACUUUAUGUGGUCGUGUGGUUUGUACGCGCCAUAACAUACAAAGCACUAUAAUAUAGUCUAUAUUAUCUAUUUAUGUGUUUAACACAAAAUUGUUUUUACUUUUUUAAUUAAACAUGUGUUUCCCUCUAGUACAUAUGCUCUGCCACAGGCAGUUAAAAAAAAAUAUGUUUUCCUGAUACAAGUGACCACAAGCCACUGUAAUUGUUCCUUGAAUUCAGAUGAAAACCGGUCCAGAAACCAUUAUCUAUACUACAAACACAAGGUUGGGAAUCAUGGAAAUGCUAUGAAAAUGCUGCCUGUUAACCUCACUUUAAAAACAAGUAUUUGAAAAAUGCCAAACAAUUAUUGAAGCAUCCGUAAAGGUCAUGCAGUAAUCUGUCUUCAGCAAGCCUGAUUCCUGAGCCCUUAGUUUUUUUUGUCAUUUACACCACUGGUGACGGAGGAGUAGCUCGGACUCAGGCUGCAAAUAUGUGUGGCUAACCUGCAGCGCAUUCCUCAGCUGUCACAUUACAGCAUGGGUUAUACUGGGUGUGGUGAAGAGCAGCACAGCUCUUUCGCUCGGCGUCUUUACUGCUAGGCCUGAAGCGGACGAGAGAAAGGACACAAGCUGUGAGGGUGAGACACACACACAGAGAGAGACAGAGGUUGUUUGUUAGCACGGACGGGUCUGGGAGUGUGUGUGUGUAUCUGGGUUUGCGCGUGUUGCAUGUGCAUGCAUGUCCUUUCCCCCACUUGUACGAUUCGAGGUUUGCUGGUAGGUAACCACCUCUCCUUCAGGCGAAAUUGGAGUCGGCUAACGCGGGAGGACGUAAUGCAACGUGACAGUUAGGCCGGUCUGCCCAACUGUCUUUGCACACACAGUCUAAAGCGCCCGGGCAACUACAGCUCGAGCAUCUCUCAAGAUAACACAGCAAGAGGAGAAUCCUCUGCGAGCCUGGUCAACCGCGAUCACUUCUCCUCUCGUGACGUACAAAAUUGCAUUCGUGAAACGACUGUCAUGUGCAAUCGCUGACACUGUCGUGCUGAAAAUGUACACUUAAAAAGAGCUGAACCAUGAACAAUGUCAUUACUGUGUAUGUGUGUGGCCUGAACUCCACAGCUCCACAUCAGCCCCCUGUGAGCUGUUGUUCUACAAACUAAGAAAAUUAGGAUUAAAAGAUAGAUUGUUUGAAGAACAAAUUAUAUGUAGCAGCUGCAAUUGCAAUUUGAUUUGCAACACAGUUUCACAGAUGUGUAGUCGCUUUAAAAUGUUCGUAUCACCACGUGACUGCGCGUGUUUCCUAUUGCGAGGAUGAGAACACGGAGAUAUUGUUCCCUGAAUGUAUGCAUGCACUGCUUGACAUUGUGAUUUUGACAUUUGAAGAUGUGCAUGAAACGUCAUUCUGAUUUUCUCGCUCUCAUUCUCUCUGCCUGUAACGUUCUCCUGGUUCUUCUCUCCCUCCUUGUACAACCUGUGCAGGCUUGUGAAAGAAAGUGUGAUGCACUGUAUGACAGCAGCAGCAGUGGAUAAGGGUCAGAGAGCGGCAGGUGGGCGACCAGGGCCCAGCGGGGAUCAUCUUUCCUCCUCAUCUGCAGCACACCAGCCUGCUACAGUAAGACGGACAAAAUGGAGACAUUUUUGAACGAGCAUGAGCUGUGACAGGAUGGCGAGACGUCUGAAAGGCCAUGAGAGAAACUCCUACGUUUUUCCACAAAAGUUCACAAAAUGUCCUCGAUCAAGGUUGAGUCAUGCUGCAGAGAGUUUUCAUACGGCCAUUCUAAACCCUGAAUGAUAAAAGAAUGUGAUUAAAUUACAGAACUGGUUUAAAUCAGAUAAAACAACAACAACACUCCUCUAUCUUUGAGAAGCUUUAAAAGAGCUUUAUUAUCAGUUGUUUUCAGUAUUGUCAUUAUUAUUGUUAGAGACACGCCGUCAAUAAAUACUUUAUAGUGAUAAAAGAA
Molecule: long non-coding RNA, 3330 nt
Organism: Solea senegalensis (Senegalese sole)
Lineage: Eukaryota; Metazoa; Chordata; Actinopteri; Pleuronectiformes; Soleidae
Exons: 2
Source: RefSeq, a predicted model, not a curated record